UGCACACUCGUGCAUAUUCGAGAAAAAAAAGAACCUACCGAGCCUUCUGUCCGUGUAGUCUGCAACUUGACAAGGGAAAGCAAACGGAAGCUCAUGGAACUGACGCAACCAUGAUCACACGCUUCGACGUGGCAAGGUGAAAUUUUAUGGAAGAGACCAAGAGGAGUUGCUUCACGUGCUUAAUCACCGAUGUGUACAAAUGCAUAAACAGUGAUGAAUACUUUCUCAUGAAUUUUAAUUUUCCCCUCCAGUCACAACAUCAUUGAUUCCUUGUAUUAAUAUACACCUAAACUGAUGGUUU
Molecule: long non-coding RNA, 301 nt
Organism: Triticum aestivum (bread wheat)
Lineage: Eukaryota; Viridiplantae; Streptophyta; Magnoliopsida; Poales; Poaceae
Exons: 3
Source: RefSeq, a predicted model, not a curated record